This 698-nucleotide ribosomal RNA is filed under the name Isoptericola sp. DS_8Q. RNAcentral describes it as "bacterial SSU rRNA". It matches the Rfam family "Bacterial small subunit ribosomal RNA", at positions 733 to 1430 of the family's 1533-position model. Lineage: Bacteria; Bacillati; Actinomycetota; Actinomycetes; Micrococcales; Promicromonosporaceae. The record is from RNAcentral.
GCCGCAACUGACGCUGAGGAGCGAAAGCAUGGGGAGCGAACAGGAUUAGAUACCCUGGUAGUCCAUGCCGUAAACGUUGGGCACUAGGUGUGGGACUCAUUCCACGAGUUCCGUGCCGCAGCUAACGCAUUAAGUGCCCCGCCUGGGGAGUACGGCCGCAAGGCUAAAACUCAAAGGAAUUGACGGGGGCCCGCACAAGCGGCGGAGCAUGCGGAUUAAUUCGAUGCAACGCGAAGAACCUUACCAAGGCUUGACAUGCACCGGACGCUGCCAGAGAUGGUGGUUCCGCAAGGUCGGUGCACAGGUGGUGCAUGGUUGUCGUCAGCUCGUGUCGUGAGAUGUUGGGUUAAGUCCCGCAACGAGCGCAACCCUUGUCCUAUGUUGCCAGCGGGUUAUGCCGGGGACUCAUGGGAGACUGCCGGGGUCAACUCGGAGGAAGGCGGGGAUGACGUCAAAUCAUCAUGCCCCUUAUGUCUUGGGCUUCACGCAUGCUACAAUGGCCGGUACAGAGGGCUGCGAUACCGUAAGGUGGAGCGAAUCCCAAAAAGCCGGUCUCAGUUCGGAUUGGGGUCUGCAACUCGACCCCAUGAAGUCGGAGUCGCUAGUAAUCGCAGAUCAGCAACGCUGCGGUGAAUACGUUCCCGGGCCUUGUACACACCGCCCGUCAAGUCACGAAAGUUGGUAACACCCGAAGCUCA